UAUGAAGAACGUAGCGAAAUGCGAUAAGUAAUGUGAAUUGCAGAAUUCAGUGAAUCAUCGAGUCUUUGAACGCACAUUGCGCCCCCUGGUAUUCCGGGGGGCAUGCCUGUCCGAGCGUCAUUGCUGCCCUCAAGCACGGCUUGUGUGUUGGGCCCCCGCCCCCCGGCUUCGGGGGGCGGGCCCGAAAGGCAGCGGCGGCACCGCGUCCGGUCCUCGAGCGUAUGGGGCUUCGUCACCCGCUCUGUAGGCCCGGCCGGCGCCCGCCGGCGACCCCAAUCAAUCUUUCCAGGUUGACCUCGGAUCAGGUAGGGAUACCCGCUGAACUUAAGCAUAUCAAUAAGCGGAGGA
RNAcentral lists this unclassified non-coding RNA (348 nucleotides) under soil metagenome. RNAcentral's name for it is "partial contains 5.8S ribosomal RNA, internal transcribed spacer 2, and large subunit ribosomal RNA". The stretch from base 2 to 120 matches the Rfam family "5.8S ribosomal RNA", at positions 36 to 154 of the family's 154-position model. The record is from RNAcentral.